This 74-nucleotide transfer RNA is filed under the name Caldifarciminota bacterium SM23_60. RNAcentral describes it as "tRNA-Val". It matches the Rfam family "tRNA". Rfam says of the family: Transfer RNA (tRNA) molecules are approximately 80 nucleotides in length. The record is from RNAcentral. Lineage: Bacteria; Pseudomonadati; Caldifarciminota. RNAcentral also lists the same sequence under 1 other name.
GGGCGGUUAGCUCAGUUGGUUAGAGCGCCAGUCUCACAUACUGGAGGUCACUGGUUCAAAUCCAGUACCGCCCA